This 93-nucleotide transfer RNA is filed under the name Tabrizicola oligotrophica. RNAcentral describes it as "Rhodobacteraceae bacterium KMS-5 tRNA-OTHER". The record is from RNAcentral. Lineage: Bacteria; Pseudomonadati; Pseudomonadota; Alphaproteobacteria; Rhodobacterales; Paracoccaceae.
GCGCGGUGUACGCCGAUGGGUAAGGGGGCGACGGGAGGUCUCGAGGCUCGUGAUUUCCCGCUGUUGAUGCCGGUUCAAGUCCGGCCCCGCGCG